UGUGUGUGUGUGUGUGUGUGUGUUUAUGUAAGAUCCCAUACUCUACCACUUUUGUUUAUUUCAUACAAUGUUAUUCACACAUUUUUCAUUUUUUAAUUUAUACAUAAUAUACAAAGAAGUGAAGAUAACAUUUCAUUUGAACCAAUAAGAGGUAGGACUUAGA
This is a long non-coding RNA of Perognathus longimembris pacificus (Pacific pocket mouse), 163 nucleotides long. RefSeq lists it as uncharacterized. The record is from RefSeq and is a predicted model, not a curated record. Lineage: Eukaryota; Metazoa; Chordata; Mammalia; Rodentia; Heteromyidae. The transcript has 4 exons.